This is a long non-coding RNA of Coffea arabica (coffee), 774 nucleotides long. RefSeq lists it as uncharacterized. Lineage: Eukaryota; Viridiplantae; Streptophyta; Magnoliopsida; Gentianales; Rubiaceae. The record is from RefSeq and is a predicted model, not a curated record.
UAUUAAGCAAUUUUUUUUAUAAAAAAAAAAAAAAAAAAAAGGAAGAGAAAGCCGCAUCGUCAUUCAUCAUCUCAUGCGACCGUGAGAGAAUCAAGUCAGCCCAACGGUCUGUUCUCUUGGAGCCACACACAGACACAGACACAGCCCUCUCCUCUCCCUCAGCUCAAUACGCAAUGGAGGCGAUGAAGGUAUUUUUGGUUGCCGUUAUGCUGAUGAUGGUAAUGGCUUCGUCGGCCGUCCAGAUUGUGGCAGCUUCCGAGGGUCCAUCUCCGGCUCCUUCUCCAGCUUCCGAUGCUUCCCUAUUUCCUCCCACUCUUUUCGCUUCCGUCGCUGCCCUUGCAAUGGCACUCCUCUUCUAAUUUCCCAAUCUUUCAUUAUUUUUUUAUUUUUUUCCUCUCUGAUAUAUUAUACAAUGGGAGGAUGGAUAUACUUGUGUAGAGCUUCUCUUUUGCUAAAUUAACUCGAAUCUUCUUCCCUCCAUGCCUCCCUCCUCCUUCUGGGAAUUGAGGUGGUGAUCAUGGGAUGGGAAGGGAGCAUUUGAGAUUCUUUGCAUAUUUUUCCUUUUUUUUUAUAUAUAUAAAAAAAUAAAAUCAUCUUUUUCUGCAGGGGCUAUUCUUUGAUGUUUAGUUUGGGGGAUAUAUCAUGUUCAUGUGUCCUUGGACAGAUUUUUGUUAUUGCCUCUAUUUGUACUUGGUAUUAUUAUUGAUGUAUUCUACAUAUAAAAAAAAAUUGGUCGUCGUUUAUUCAAUUCAGCACAGCAGCUUCAAUUUCAAA